RNAcentral lists this ribosomal RNA (301 nucleotides) under uncultured bacterium. RNAcentral describes it as "partial 16S ribosomal RNA". It matches the Rfam family "Bacterial small subunit ribosomal RNA", at positions 509 to 807 of the family's 1533-position model. The record is from RNAcentral.
CAGUCGCCACGGUAAUACGGAGGGUGCAAGCGUUAAUCGGAAUUACUGGGCGUAAAGCGCACGCAGGCGGUUUGUUAAGUCUGCUGUGAAAUCCCCGGGCUCAACCUGGGAAUGGCAGUGGAUACUGGCAAGCUAGAGUGUGUCAGAGGAUGGUGGAAUUCCCGGUGUAGCGGUGAAAUGCGUAGAGAUCUGGAGGAAUACCGGUGGCGAAGGCGGCCCCCUGGACAAAGACUGACGCUCAGGUGCGAAAGCGUGGGGAGCAAACAGGAUUAGAUACCCCAGUAGUCCCUGUCUCUUAUAC